Ribosomal RNA from Serendipita vermifera MAFF 305830, 1553 nucleotides. It matches the Rfam family "Bacterial small subunit ribosomal RNA". The record is from Rfam. NCBI's taxonomy places the organism in Eukaryota, Fungi, Basidiomycota, Agaricomycetes, Sebacinales, Serendipitaceae.
UUAAUUGAGAGCUUAAUUUUGACUCUGAUUUAGUUUUUUGCUUUUAAGAUAAGGCAUGCGAAUUUUUUUAAACAAAUGUUUAAAAAGUGUAGGGGUGAGUAAAAUUAGCAAAUAUGUACCUUUAAGUUCUUUGAAAUAAGGAAUAAAAAAUUUUAAUUUCUUUUGUUAAUUUUAAAUUUUUAAUUAUAUUCUAUAUUUAUUAUAGAAUAUUUAAUUUUUAAAUAUGAUUUUUGUUAUUAUAAUUUAAAAAGGAAAUUUUCCGCUUUUAGAUCAUUGCUAAACCGAUUAGGUAGUUGGUAAAAUAAAUAGGGGUAACGGCCCACCAAGCCUACGAUCGGUAGUCACAUUUGAGAAAAUUGUUGACCACAGUGGGAAUGAAAUAUCCCUCGUUGUUUCGACCAGCAGCCGCGAAUAUUUGUCAAUGCUCGAAAGAGUGAACGAGUUAAAAAGUAUCUAUCCAAUAGAGAAUUUAAAUAUUAAUUAUGAUAUAAUUAAAUUUUGAGUGCCGACCAACACCUGUGCCAGAAGUCUCGGUAAUACAGGAGGCGCUAAACUAGUCUACAUAAUCAGGCUUAAAGCGUAAUUAGACAGACUCUUAAGAGAGUAUAGAAUCUAAAAAUAGGAAAAUAUAAUGUUCAGUGUAGUGUCGACAUACUUUGAUACUGAAUGGAAUACUAAAUGCGAAGGCAGUUUUCCAAUAUAGAUCCACGUUGACUUACGAGGGCGGAGGUAGAAAAGCAGAUUAGAACCUGCGUAUUCUCCGCUGUAAACGAUGAAUGGUCGUUUUGAUUUAAGAAUCAUUUCGACGCGAAAGCUUUAACCAUUCCGCCUUGCGAGUACACUUGCAAAAGUGAAAUCAAAAAAAAUAGUCGGUUUCGAAGCAAACGGAGUGGCGCAUGUUGUUUAAUUCGAUUGUCCGCGAAAAAUCUUACCAUAACUUGCAUAAGUUUGAAACUAAAUUUAAGUUUACUUUUUUUUUAUAUUAGGUUUACUAUUAAAUUUAGGUUUAUUAUUCAAACUAACAGGUGCUGCAUGGCUGUCGUCAGUUCAUACCGUAAGGGUUUAGGUUAAUUCCACAAAUGAACGCGAUCCUCGUUGUUAAUUUAAACUUAACACUGUCAUUAUAAUGAUGACUUGAUAGGGGGCAAAGACAAGCCUUUAUGACCCUAAUGUUAUGGGCUACAAACGUGCAACAAAAAUUUUUACAAAGUGAAGCAAUACCGUGAGGAGGAGCUAAUCAUUAAAAAAAAUUAUAGACGAAUUGAAUGUCUGAAACUUGACUUCAUGAAGUAGGAAUUCCGAGUAAUCGUUGAUCAUAAGACGCAACGGUGAAGUUUUAAUUCGUAAUGAACUAAUUGUCUGUCGCUGGGAAGAAUCUUAUUUUGGUGGAAGAUAACAAAAUUAUUUAAAUUAUUUAAUUUAAUAUUAUCAAUUUACUUAGAUAAUUAUUACUAAGUAUUUAUUUAAUAAUGUCGAUUCAAGCCAUUUGAGUAACAUCUCAAAAGUCAUAGCAGAGUAGUCCGGCUAGAAAGUCGGGCUGAAUUAUAAUACAC